This 499-nucleotide ribosomal RNA is filed under the name uncultured bacterium. RNAcentral's name for it is "partial 16S ribosomal RNA". It matches the Rfam family "Bacterial small subunit ribosomal RNA", at positions 28 to 507 of the family's 1533-position model. The record is from RNAcentral.
GACGAACGCUGGCGGCGUGCCUAAUACAUGCAAGUCGAGCGAAGUUUUUCUGGUGCUUGCACCGGAAAAACUUAGCGGCGAACGGGUGAGUAACACGUAAAGAACCUGCCUCAUAGACUGGGACAACUAUUGGAAACGAUAGCUAAUACCGGAUAAUAGCAUUAACUGCAUGGUUGAUGUUUAAAAGUUGGUUUUGCUAACACUAUGAGAUGGCUUUGCGGUGCAUUAGCUAGUUGGUGGGGUAAAGGCCUACCAAGGCGACGAUGCAUAGCCGACCUGAGAGGGUGAUCGGCCACACUGGGACUGAGACACGGCCCAGACUCCUACGGGAGGCAGCAGUAGGAAAUCUUCCGCAAUGGGCGAAAGCCUGACGGAGCAACGCCGCGUGAGUGAAGAAGGAUUUCGGUUCGUAAAGCUCUGUUGUUAGGGAAGAAUGAUUGUGUAGUAACUAUACACAGUAGAGACGGUACCUAACCAGAAAGCCACGGCUAACUACGUG